GUUAGAUGGUAUAGAGAAGGCACUUUAGCACAAUGAUUGGUGUGCACUGCGAUGAUGACUCUUCUCCUGUCACCACAGCACUGCUAUUGCUGGCGGGGUACCAGUGGGUGCACAGUGCCCAACGGGAAUGAUGCGAAGUGUGAAAGCCAUGUAUUUACCUUGUGAUGUCGUGGGACAGAGGCUGGAGAGAUAUGGACCAUCUUGAAUACUGCACUCACACCGCAGAGGAAGCAGUGCUACAAGGGUACCAGCUACCCAUCCCUUCCACGCAGAGGACAGGGAGCAGGUAAGCCCCAGCAUGUGAGACCCAGGGAGCAAUGAGCUCUCUGUUUUAAGGCUGUGUCUAUAUACACAACUAGUCAGAGAACAGGUUAUAACACAAUGGUUAAAAUGUGUGUGUGUGUGUGUGUGUGUGUGUGUGUGUGUGUGUAUACGUGUGUGCUCUCAGACAGAUAGGUUAAGGCAGUGAGGACUGAGGCUGGGAGCUAAAACUAUGUUCAUCUUUAUGCUGACCGAUCUCUCCCGCUGGGCCAAGACUGUGGAGCCCAACUGCAGACAGGUUCUUAGGUAGGCUCACAGGCUGGGGUCUCCAGGAUGGGAUGUGGAGUGCAUGGUUUUCUUGGGAACUUGCAACUGUGGAAGGAGGGGUGAGGUCUGAGGAG
This 662-nucleotide long non-coding RNA is filed under the name Fukomys damarensis (Damara mole-rat). Its description in RNAcentral is "lncRNA (ENSFDAG00000023709.1)". The record is from RNAcentral. Lineage: Eukaryota; Metazoa; Chordata; Mammalia; Rodentia; Bathyergidae.